GUUAGAGUUAGUGUGAGUGUUAGAGUGUGUGUUAGUGUGUGUUAGAGUGAGUGUUAGAGUUAGUGUGAGUGUUAGAGUGUGUGUUAGUGUGUGUCUGCUAGUGAGUGUUAGUGUUAGUGUGUGUGAGUGUUAGUGAGUGUUAGUGAGUGUUAGUGUGUGUGUCUGCUAGUGAGUGUCAGUGAGUGUGUUACUGUGUGUGUCUUACUGAGUGUGUAUGUGUUAGUGAGUCUGUUUGAUGUCUGUUAGUGAGUGUGUGUUUGUCAAUGAGAG
Pelobates cultripes (western spadefoot toad) is the source of this 270-nucleotide non-coding RNA. The record is from the annotation of a GenBank genome assembly. NCBI's taxonomy places the organism in Eukaryota, Metazoa, Chordata, Amphibia, Anura, Pelobatidae.